GACAGAGGGGGCAAGCGUUGCUCGGAAUUACUGGGCGUAAAGGGCGCGUAGGCGGGAUGGCAAGUCGGUCGUGAAAUCCUUCGGCUCAACCGAAGAACGUCGAUCGAUACUGCUGUUCUUGAGGGUUGCAGAGGAGACUGGAAUUCCCGGUGUAGCGGUGAAAUGCGUAGAUAUCGGGAGGAAUACCAGUGGCGAAGGCGGCCUUCUGGACGGAUACUGACGCUGAGGCGCGAAAGCCAGGGGAGCAAACGGG
Molecule: ribosomal RNA, 253 nt
Filed under: uncultured bacterium
Lineage: Bacteria
Description: partial 16S ribosomal RNA
Rfam family: Bacterial small subunit ribosomal RNA
Source: RNAcentral